AUCCAAAUGAUGAGUCCGAAAUGGGACAAAACGCGCGUUCUGGGU
This 45-nucleotide non-coding RNA is filed under the name Schistosoma mansoni. Lineage: Eukaryota; Metazoa; Platyhelminthes; Trematoda; Strigeidida; Schistosomatidae. The record is from RNAcentral.